Long non-coding RNA from Drosophila ananassae, 1304 nucleotides. RefSeq lists it as uncharacterized. The transcript is spliced from 3 exons. The record is from RefSeq and is a predicted model, not a curated record. Lineage: Eukaryota; Metazoa; Arthropoda; Insecta; Diptera; Drosophilidae.
CUGAAAAAAAUUUAAUAAAAACCCACCGGAAAUUAUGUGCACGACUUGAUUGGAAUGUCAGAUAAAGUCAAAUGGAUUUCAGCGUAAAUUAAGUUGCCAGAAAAAUGGAGAAUUUCCACCCAACACCCAGCUGCUGUCUAAGCUUUUUUUUUAUUAUCCUAAAUUUUUGAGGGAAAAUGGUGUAAAAAAUAUACAUUUUUGGUCUAGUUUGGAGAUUUUAUAUUGAUUCUAAAAAAAAUAAAUAUUCACCAUAAGAACUGAUGAAAGCCCAAGAAGGAAGGAUUAUCCUUUUCUUUCCGAAAUAAAAAGGAUAAAAUUAAAUGAUACAAAACCGGUUAGACCGGUCGUAUCCAUGACGAAAUAUUGUGGUAUUUUUUAUGAAAAUAUUUGAUCCAUUUCGCAUAUGAAUAUCUCCGGUGAAUGGGAAUAAAUUAAACCCCUUUCGGGAUGCAGCUGGCCAAGUUUCGGGCAUAUUCAGAGCGCGACGAAGGAAAAACAACAACAUCCAUAUAUACAACUAGCCGGUCGUGGCCCCCGGCCCCGCCCCACUUUGGGGCAUUAGAGAGCGACAUUUUCUUAACAAGCCAAAAGGACAUUUGCUGUCCCCCGAGGAGCCAACGAGACCAGGGAGCGAGAAGAGUCCUUGCACAAAGGUUCCAAACGAAGCACAACAAGAGUCGAAGGAAAAAAUGAGGGAAAAACUCUGGAAAAAGUCGACGUAAUGGAAAGUUGCCCGGGCAGCUCUCCGCUCGGGUCUCAUUAGCGCUGGUUGCCACGGGACGGAGGCAAGCAAGGCUGAGACUUCGUCCAGGACACUUCUAAGGAGGCAGGUCCCCGGACCCGGCGCCCGGGACACAAGACCCGGGCAAGACACAAAAUUAAAAGCUGAUGAGCGUGAAUGUUGGGCAAAAUAAAAAGAUUUCUUAACGUAUUUGCGUAGUUUGUGCCCGGCAUUUUUUCCAUUCCUCCCCAUUAGCAUUGGAAGGAAAAUGCGACAGGAAAUAUGAGCAGCAAAUGGAGUGGAUGCCGUGGAAAAAGGACGUUCGAUAGAAGCUGAUGAUGGUCACUAGAUGAUGUGCACUUAGCAGAUAGAUACAGAUACAGCAUACACAGACAGAAAACAGAAUACUUAAUAGCCUUAAUUAAUUGAAUUUAAAGUUGAUUCUGAAGACUUUAAGAUACAAGGAUCUACUUGGUACAAUAUAUGUACUUUUUAUACUUAUGGAAAUUAGUUCGACAGGAUAUUUAGUCCUGUAGAUUUUAAAUCUAAUUCGAAUAAAGUUGAAUUAAUGAUAUAAGAAAUA